This 497-nucleotide ribosomal RNA is filed under the name uncultured bacterium. Its description in RNAcentral is "partial 16S ribosomal RNA". It matches the Rfam family "Bacterial small subunit ribosomal RNA", at positions 28 to 507 of the family's 1533-position model. The record is from RNAcentral.
GAUGAACGCUGGCGGCGUGCCUAAUACAUGCAAGUCGAGCGAACAGAUGAGGAGCUUGCUCCUCUGACGUUAGCGGCGGACGGGUGAGUAACACGUGGAUAACCUACCUAUAAGACGGGGAUAACUUCGGGAAACCGGAGCUAAUACCGGCUCAUAUAUUGAACCGCAUGGUUCAAUAGUGAAAGACGGCUUUGCUGUCACUUAUAGAUGGAUCCGCGCCGCAUUAGCUAGUUGGUAAGGUAACGGCUUACCAAGGCAACGAUGCGUAGCCGACCUGAGAGGAUGAUCGGCCACACUGGAACUGAGACACGGUCCAGACUCCUACGGGAGGCAGCAGUAGGGAAUCUUCCACAAUGGGCGCAAGCCUGACGGAGCAACGCCGCGUGAGUGAUGAAGGUCUUCGGAUCGUAAAACUCUGUUAUUAGGGAAGAACAAAUGUGUAAGUAACUAUGCACGUCUUGACGGUACCUAAUCAGAAAGCCACGGCUAACUACGUG